UGGUAUGGGGGAUAACGUCCGGAAACGGGCGCUAAUACCGCAUACGUCCCCCNUUGGAGGGGGAGAAAGGNUGGGGGAUCUUC
This 83-nucleotide ribosomal RNA is filed under the name uncultured Pseudomonadaceae bacterium. Its description in RNAcentral is "partial small subunit ribosomal RNA". The record is from RNAcentral. Lineage: Bacteria; Pseudomonadati; Pseudomonadota; Gammaproteobacteria; Pseudomonadales; Pseudomonadaceae.